CGGAACAUAGCUCAGCGGGAGAGCAGCUGGCUUAUAUCCAGCGUGGUGGAGGUUCGAGUCCUUCUGUUCCGA
Molecule: transfer RNA, 72 nt
Filed under: Caudoviricetes sp.
Lineage: Duplodnaviria; Heunggongvirae; Uroviricota; Caudoviricetes
Description: tRNA-Ile
Rfam family: tRNA
About the family: Transfer RNA (tRNA) molecules are approximately 80 nucleotides in length. Their secondary structure includes four short double-helical elements and three loops (D, anti-codon, and T loops). Further hydrogen bonds mediate the characteristic L-shaped molecular structure. tRNAs have two regions of fundamental functional importance: the anti-codon, which is responsible for specific mRNA codon recognition, and the 3' end, to which the tRNAs corresponding amino acid is attached (by aminoacyl-tRNA synthetases). tRNAs cope with the degeneracy of the genetic code in two manners: having more than one tRNA (with a specific anti-codon) for a particular amino acid; and 'wobble' base-pairing, i.e. permitting non-standard base-pairing at the 3rd anti-codon position.
Source: RNAcentral